AGCAGUAGCCGCGGGAAUACGAAGGUCCCAAGCGUUGUUCGGAAUCACUGGGCGUAAAGGGAGCGUAGGCGGCGUGGUAAGUCAGAUGUGAAAUCCCGGGGCUCAACCCCGGAACUGCAUCCGAUACUGCCAUGCUUGAGGGUUGGAGAGGUAGCUGGAAUUCUUGGUGUAGCAGUGAAAUGCGUGGAUAUCAAGAGGAACACUCGUGGCGAAGGCGAGCUACUGGACAACAUCUGACGCUGAGGCUCGAAGGCCAGGGUAGCGAAAGGGAUUAGAUACCCGGGUAGUCCCUGUCUCUUAUAC
RNAcentral lists this ribosomal RNA (303 nucleotides) under uncultured bacterium. Its description in RNAcentral is "partial 16S ribosomal RNA". It matches the Rfam family "Bacterial small subunit ribosomal RNA", at positions 507 to 807 of the family's 1533-position model. The record is from RNAcentral.